ACACACCUGGCAAAGCGGUAAUGCGCUUGCCCUCUAAGCAAGACGACUCGCGUUCGAACCCGAGUAGAAUG
Non-coding RNA from Phthorimaea operculella (potato tuberworm), 71 nucleotides. The record is from the annotation of a GenBank genome assembly. Lineage: Eukaryota; Metazoa; Arthropoda; Insecta; Lepidoptera; Gelechiidae.